Oncorhynchus tshawytscha (Chinook salmon) is the source of this 2463-nucleotide long non-coding RNA. Lineage: Eukaryota; Metazoa; Chordata; Actinopteri; Salmoniformes; Salmonidae. The record is from Ensembl.
CCUCCUCCUAGUCAGUCAGGGUGUCGGAUACCUCCUCCUAGUCAGUCAGGGUGUCUGAUUUCUACUCCUACUCAGUGAUGGUGUUGGAUACCUCUUGGUAUCCUAACCAGUGAGGUAAGGAGGUAAGGAGACUAUGGGGGGUAUGCUACGUUUGUGAGAAUACAUUUCACCUACUUAUAGACUCUGUACAACAGUCUUCAAACAACUCUGUGGGUGAGUAAAUACGCUGGUCUGUUUUUUUAAAUAUUUUUUUUAUUUUACCUUAAUUUAACUAGGCAAGUCAGUUAAGAAAAAAUUAUUAUUUUCAAUGACGGCCUAGGAACAGUGGGUUAACUGCCUGUUCAGGGGCAGAACGACAGAUUUUGUACCUUGUCAGCUCAGAGAUUUGAACUUGCAACCUUUCGGUUACUAGUCCAAUGCGCUUACCACUAGGCUACACUGCCGCCCAGGUCUGAACACGCUCACCGUCUCUCCCCACGUCUCAUCACAUGCUGACCGUCUCUCCCCACGUCUCGUGCUCACCGUCUCUCCCCACAUCAUGCAUGUUUGCAGCGAUGUCUUCUCAGAUAUUUGUGCCUGUGGCACGGGAGGACCAACCCUUUUCCAGAUAAGCCUGAUCCGGCAGGCUACAACAGACUGACUGACACACCUUAUUUAGGUCAGGAGAGACAGGUGUUCUAGGUAACAUAGCAAUUUAGUGAAUCUAUGAGCUGGAAGAACAAUCAUAACCUCCCUGGGGCUAAUCAGGACAAUAAAUGGCAGCCAUUUUGCUCUGUGGAAUUUAAUUGUCCCUCAGUACAAAUCAGUUGGUGCUGUGUUACUGAGGUGAAAUGUGACCACACCAUAAUCGCAAUGCAACUAUUUGUGAGCCUGGUAAAGACACCAUCGUAAGACAGGGUUUGACGAUGGUUUAAAUAUGUAGAGUGAUUGUGUCCGUGAGGAUGAAGCGUUAAAGGAGGAGUACAUACCAUCAAUCUCUGGGAUUGAGAUAGCAGGAGUAGGCGGGGCCUCAGGAGCAGGGGUGACUGGUGUUAGCUCUGGGGCAGGAGUAGGGGCGGCUGGUGUUAGCUCAGGGGCGGCUUCGGGAGCAGGGGUAGGAGUCUCUACUGCAGGCUCUGGGGCUGGAGCUGCCACCUCACCUGGGGCCUCCACUGGUCCUGGGGCCUCCACAGGCUCAUUGGCAACGGCUGCUACAGGGGCCUCCACAGCCACAGGGGUGGUUAUUGGCUCUGCUGCAGGCUCAGCAGCAACAACAAGGUCAGUUAUGGGGUCACUGGGUGCAGGGGCCUCCACAGCGGGGGCCCCCUCUGGGACAGCGGCCACAGGCUCAGCAGCAGGGGUUACUGGUUCAGGGACAGCGGCCACAGGGGCUGGAGCAUCUUUGGUCUCCUCUUUUGGGGCUGGAGCUGGGGUCUCCGCUGCUGGAGCUGGGGUCUCCUCUGUCGGGGCUGGAGCUGGGGUCUCCUCUGUCGGGGCUGGAGCUGGGGUCUCCUCUGUCGGGGCUGGAGCUGGGGUCUCCUCUGUCGGGGCUGGAGCUGGGGUCUCCUCUGUCGGGGCUGGAGCUGGGGUCUCCUCUGUCGGGGCUGGAGCUGCCUCUGGGACAGUUUCAGUCACCUCGACUGGGGCAGCAGCUUCCACAGGUGCAGCUGCCUCGACCAGGGUAGCCACCUCCACUGCAGCUCCAGUUUCAACAACCGGAGCCUCCUCAGACACCACUGUCUCAGCAGGAGCCUCUGCCACAGGAGCGGCCUCAACCACGACAGCCUCAACAGGGUCCACCACCUCCACUGGGACCACAGCCUCUACUAAGACCACAUCCUCUGAAGGGACGGCUGCAGCCUCAGCAGGGGCUUCAGGGGGAACGUCUGGCUCGGCUGCAGCCAGCAUCUCCAGGACCUGGUCCUCCUCCCAUCCAGACCCCAUGGUCUCCAGGGCCUCUGAGGCCAUGAUGACGGGUUCCUCAGAGUCAUCAGUCAGGGCACUCUGGACAGGAAGCUGCAUCUGGUCAGCGAUGGUCUCCGUGUCCUCCGAGAUGUGACCAUUCCCGACAACUGGAAUAAAAACACAGAAAAACAUGGAGGUUCAUGAGAGAAAUGUAUUUCUAGGUUUAACCUGACAUCUGACACCAGAUCCACCUGUAACGUUCCUGAUAGAAGAUCACUGCAAACCGUUUCCGCGCUUUAUUGAAUACCAAACAUAUUGGUUAAGUUGAACUAAUGAAGGAUCUGAUAGGCUGGAAGUUAUGACCUUGGUGUGUCUGUGUUGUCAUGAACCAAUCCAGUAACACCUAAAACAUUCCAUGUCUGUAGAGCCUUGUAUGAUAAGUCCAUUGUGAGAAGGCCUUUCUAGGGAGUUUUUCCUAGCCACCGUGCUUCUACACCUGCAUUGCUUGCUGUUUGGGGUUUUAGGCCGGGUUUCUGUACAGCACUUUGAGAUAUCAGCUGAUGUACGAAGGGCAAUAUA